This 497-nucleotide ribosomal RNA is filed under the name uncultured bacterium. Its description in RNAcentral is "partial 16S ribosomal RNA". It matches the Rfam family "Bacterial small subunit ribosomal RNA", at positions 29 to 507 of the family's 1533-position model. The record is from RNAcentral.
AGUGAACGCUGGCGGCAGGCCUAAUACAUGCAAGUCGAGCGAACGGACGAGGAGCGCUCUCCUUUAAGGGUGGCGACUGACGGAUGGGUAAGACAUACGUAGGAUACCUAUUAUACUGGGGGGACAUCGGGGGGCAAGAGCUGCUAAUGCAGAAUACGUCCAACGGGAUGGAUCGAUAGUGCAAGAGAGCUUUGCUGUCACAUAGAGAUGAUGUGGCGCCGGAUUAGUUAGUUGGUAAGGUAACGGCUCACCAAGGCAACGAUCCGUAGCUGAUCUGAGAGGAUGAUCGGCCACACUGGAACUGAGACACGGUCCAGACUCCUACGGGAGGCAGCAGUGGGGAAUAUUGGACAAUGGGCGCAAGCCUGAUCCAGCCAUGCCGCGUGAGUGAAGAAGGCCUUCGGGUUGUAAAGCCCUUUUGUUGGGAAAGAAAAGCAGCAGGUUAAUCCCCCGCUGUUCUGACGGUACCCAAAGAAUAAGCACCGGCUAACUUCGUG